GAAAUGCGAUAAGUAAUGUGAAUUGCAGAAUUCAGUGAAUCAUCGAAUCUUUGAACGCACAUUGCGCUCCUUGGUAUUCCUUGGAGCAUGCCUGUUUGAGUAUCAUGAAAUCUUCAAAGUAAAUCUGUUGUUAACUCAAUUGGUUUCUACUUUGGUAUUGGAGGUCUUUGCAGCUUCACACCUGCUCCUCUUUGUUCAUUAGCUGGAUCUCAGUGUUAUGCUUGGUUCCACUCGGCGUGAUAAGUUAUCUAUCGCUGAGGACACUGUAAAAGGUGGCCAAGGUAAAUGCAGAUGAACCGCUUCUAAUAGUCCAUUGACUUGGACAAUACUUUUAUGAUCUGAUCUCAAAUCAGGUAGGACUACCCGCUGAACUUAAGC
RNAcentral lists this unclassified non-coding RNA (378 nucleotides) under plant metagenome. RNAcentral describes it as "partial contains 5.8S ribosomal RNA, internal transcribed spacer 2, and large subunit ribosomal RNA". The stretch from base 1 to 105 matches the Rfam family "5.8S ribosomal RNA", at positions 50 to 154 of the family's 154-position model. The record is from RNAcentral.